This 6120-nucleotide long non-coding RNA is filed under the name Solanum tuberosum (potato). RNAcentral's name for it is "long non-coding RNA (STUB_LNC008562)". Lineage: Eukaryota; Viridiplantae; Streptophyta; Magnoliopsida; Solanales; Solanaceae. The record is from RNAcentral.
CAACAGUAUGUACAGAAUCUGUCAAACUCUUUUGGUAAGCUCUGAUAGCAUAGAGUUUGAGAACAGCAAAAUCAUGUUUGAUAAAUUGUCAACCAUGAUCACGGACAUAACAGGCGCUUGUCUUACCAACCUACAAAGAGUUAUGCAAUGCCACCAUGGCACCAUUAAGGAGAGAUCAAAAGGUGUCCGUUCUGCCAUCUUACUUCUCGGAAAAGCAGAGAAUAUUCUGGAAAUUCUUCGUUCACAGCCACUUCCAAGUUCAGUACCAGAUCAAUUGUCAAAAAUUGAUCAUUGGUGUACACUGAGCAAAGAGGAAGACUACCUCUCCUGCAGUCGUAGUUCAACCUCAUAUUGUACUCCAACUUCCCAAAGUUCAUCUGACUUGUAUCUAACUGUGGACUAAGAAACAAAUGCCACCUUGUUUGGAUAGUCGUUACAUAUUGUUUUAUAAUGUAUCAUAUUAUAUUGCAUUUGUAUUGAUGUACUAUUUUGAUGAAUACAAUGUUUGGAGAGAUUGUAUCCUGCUCCUUCGUAACAUUAUGCUAUACAUUACCAAUUUGAAGGAUAAAACAUUGUAUUUAAACUAACAACACAAUACAAUAUAAUAGGUAACAACCAUCCAAACAAGCUGUGAAAGUGAAAGAAGAAAAAGGUAGGUUAAGUUCUAUUGCAAUAGUAACAUAUUUGUCAACAGAAUCAUAUUUGUUUCACAUCAAAUCUCCAGCUUGUUCUCUAAAUAGCAACUCAAUUACUACUUCCCCUUGAAAAUACUAGAGAACUAUUCCAACUUAAUCAACAGUUAAACAAAAUCUACGAUGAUGAGCUACAAUAAUUUUGAUAUUUCUAAGCCAAUAUUAUGGUUCAUUGUGUAAGGUAAUUAUUCAAUUGAAAUAAGCAAUAGUCCUCUAAUAUAGCACACAAAAUAACCUGCAAUUUCUAUUAAUUGGUGAAUUCAGUCAAAACUACCAUACUAGUCCUCCUUUUUCAGUCUAACGUCGUCUUGAGUGUAGCACUAACAGAAAAAACCUCUUUGAAUUACAACAUCCCAACCCUAUAAGUCUUACUUACAAGUCAUAUAGACCUGCCUAGUACUUCAGAUAGAAAAACAGAAUAGAUUAUUAUGUAUGUUGGAUCAGGUAAAAGCAAAAAAAUUAUCACUUAAUAGCACCAAGAAAGUGCUUAAACUGUACACAGACAAAAGUGAACACCAGUGUUACUCAACUAGUACAUUUCUGAAUGUUGUCUUCAGUAACCACCUGGUUUAUACUAUGCCCACAACAUCUACAUUCAGGUUCCUAAUCUUAAGUCUACUAAUGAAUUCUAUGGGAUCCCUAUCAACAUUACCAAGCAGAUCCCAAUUUUAAUACGAAAUCCUAUGAAGCUGAGAAAACAGUAGUGAAUUUUAUUAGACAGAAUUGAACUUGUUCGUAAAUUUCAUUUAGACAUUCGAACCACAAUUACUUUGUAUCUUAGGUGUCAUCUACAAACAUAUAGCCAGACGAAUAGUAGUUGAGUAUCUUAAUAUUCAAUGAAUAGAAAAACUAAUUCAACAUGACAGAACCCUAAGAAAAGUCAUCAAUGGUUAGCUGUUUGAUCUAGAUUUUUUCAAAGGUUGCAAUUUCCAGUGAUUUUGGAGUCAAAGACAAGAAAAGUCUAUUGAAGAAGAUGCAGUCUGAAAAGUCAACCCAUUUCCUUGUUGGGUGGAAAGGUUUCCCCUUCUUAUUUUAUUUUUAAAACUAAAUAAGGGACUGAAUUAUGUGAAGGGAAUAACAAAUAUUGAAACUACAAUUCAUUGUGGGAAAGACCAGUGGCACCACAAGCUAAUAAUAGUAAACCUCAGUUCUUUUCAUAUUCUUUUUGUUUUUUAAAAGUUAGUACUGUGUAUUACACUGGGUAAUCAGAGAAGGGAACAUUGAAAAUUCAUCUCACAGUAUUACUAAUUUGGGACCCAUCAAGUGAGCUAAUCAACAUGUCCUGUACUAUACGGCUAUACCUAUUGUCCCACCUUUUGACUAGCAGACAAUCCUGGCAACUAGCAACUACUUGGACCCACCAUCCCACCCACCCCUAUCUAGGGGACGGGCAUCAGAUAAUAACAAAUAAAAUAACAUACUAGUAUAUGUCAAGUGUACGCAAAUCUUACCUCAAUCUUGGUGGAAUAGAGAGGUUGUUUCCAAGAGGCUUCGAAAAAUUCUAGACAUGCGUGCUUGACUUUAAUACUAAACACAUCAGAGGAACCCCUCCAGCAAUCAAAGCCAAUUAUAACUCACAAAAUUUCAAAUAAGUGAUAAUGUUGUUGACUUUUCUAACAUCAUUCAAUAAGUGAAAUCAUCCAUGACAAAAUCAAGUAAAUGGCAUAAUUUCAGUGAAGAUGUUACCAGAAAAAGUAAAUCUUGGAAAACACUGGAAAUAGCUUGAAAGAGAGUCAAAGAAACAAAUAGAUAUGAUUGCAGCAAAAAACCCAGAGUAGAUUCACCCCACAAGAAAUUCUCAAAAUACUCCACCAUAGACAGAUUUCAGCUUUGAAACGAGAUGGGAAAGAUUGGUUGCACCAUAGAUGGCAACCUAGAUGACUCGAAAUACAGCGAGCCGAUGCCAUGGAUCGGUAUCUAUGUUGCAGCAGCAUCUGCAGCUUGUGCACUGGCCAUGGCGAUUGAUGUCCUUCAUGGCCUGCGCCGUAGAAAAUUAUGGUUUCCUUGCAACUUCUUCUCUUGAAAGAGAGUCAAAGAAACAAAUAGAUAUGGCUGCAGCUAAAUACCCAGAGUAGAAACACCCCCCUCAAGAAAUCCUCAAAUACUCCACAUACACAAAGAUUUCACCUUUUAAACGAGAUGGGAAAGAUUGGUUGCACCAUAGAUGGCAACCUGGAUGACUCAAAAUUCAGCGAGCCGAUGCCAUGGAUCGGUAUCUAUGUUGCAGCAGCAUCUGCAGCUUGUGCACUGGCCAUGGCGAUUGAUGUCCUUCAUGGCCUGCGCCGUAGAAAAUUAUGGUUUCCUUGCAACUUCUUCUCUCUUAACGCUACGACCUUGACGCUCCUAGCUGUUGCCACCAAGUUGUCUGUUGAUCUAAAUACAUCCAUGCCUCGCCGACAAGAUCAGCUGACAAAACUUAGCAGUGCUGCUCUAAUCUGUACGGUAAUUGCUAAUUUUUUGCCUUCUUUAGGACUCAUGGAGAAUACAGACCUGUUGAUGAACAUAAUGGCUUUGGGGAUUUUCGUCAUCACGGCCAUCGUGAACAUUGGCAUACAAUUAGCUACUGGUGUUAUCUACGUUUUCAGCAAAGAGCAUAUAGCCCUCAUGUUUCUUAUGCUUAUUUUGCUUCUGUUACUGAUCUCCUCAGCCUUGACAAUACCAACUACAAAGUAUUAUUUGGACCUGAAAUACAACAAGAGGUACAAGUUAGCAAACAAAGAAUGCAACAUCAGCUAUACAUGCAAAACUCAGAAACUGAAGGACGAACUGAUGAGAUUAUGGACCAUGGCCUAUACCUCUAGCCCCCACUUUGUUGCGGGGCGCUUAGCAACAUGCACUGCCUCUGGAGGUUUCUGCCUUCUGAGCACAGUAAUUUAUGCUCAAGCCAUGCUUAGGUCUUACUUUCUCCAUUCGAGCUUCAGCUUUUGUAGUGGAGAAUCUGAAUACAAGUGGUCCACAACCUUAAUUCUUGUAACUCACACAGUGGCAAUAGGAGUAGGAACUAUUGCACCAGCUUUUAGAUGGUUCAUAGCCAUAAAUUUCCAAUGCCCCAAAAAAACAAAUAAUGCCUGCAAACUCACGUUGUUCAAAGUGGAGAACUACUGGAUCCAUAUACUGCUUAAGUGGAAAGAAUGCCCGUUGGAUUUCAGAAUUUGUGGCCGGCAUGGUAGAAAAUUCGCUCAUAAGACAAAGAACAAACUUCUCGAUUUCUGCAUUUGGAUGCAAAUUCUGAUGGUGUCACUCAGUAAGGUAGUUCGGGUCAUUUCCACUUUCUCUGUGAGUUGGUUACUGAUAAGCUGUCAGAAAGCAACCAGGAUGCUGAAAUGCAAAAAUGUGGUGUCUAGUCAUGAUAUAGAGUCACAAGCUAGUCUAAAGCCAGAUCUUAGCCACUAUGUUUUACACCUCGAAGGAGAGGAAGCAUUAAUUGAUUUGAUGAUGCAAAGCAACUGUGAUGUGGUAGACAAAUGGAUAGGGAUGGGGAAAAAGGAGCAACCUAAACAUCUAAUACGAUUUUUAGAGAAAGUGAAGUCAUCACCUGGAUUCAGGGGAGUGCACGAAUUUGACCAUGCUAAAAUUCCUUCUUUAGACACGGAAGAACCUCCUAAUUGCUGGGCUCUUCCUAUAGUGACACUGACAAGCAUUGCAAUUGCACUUCCAGACAUUGAUUUCCACUUAAUCAAGGAAUUAAUAAGGAGUGUGUAUGAAGGUCUCAUGUACGUCAAACUUGUUGAAGAGAACCUGGAUAGCAGAAAAGACCUAGUAUACAUCAGGAAGGCAGCAGAGUUAGUGUGGGUAGAAGUUGACUUAUGUUACAAGUGGCUGGACAUCGAUCUCCGCAAAGCUGCCACUGAAGGACAAAAUCCAAAAGGUGUGCUUGAAGGACUCUCUGAGAAAGCAAAGCAGAGAUUCGUCGAAUUCAGAAAGAAAGAUCCAAAUGCUUGUUUAAAGGAUUCACCUUCAAAAUGGCCUAACAAUAUGUUGGCAGCAAACUGUAUGUACAGAGUAUGUCAAACUCUUCUGCAAAGUUCUGAUAGCAAAGCGUUUGAGAACAGCAAAACCAUGUUUGACAGAUUGUCAACAAUGAUUGCGGAUAUAACAAGUGCAUGUCUUACCAACCUUGAUAGAGUUAUAUCCAUGCAAUGCCACCAUGGCACCAUUGAAGAGAGAGCAGCAGGUGUCCGCUCUGCCAUCUUGCUUCUGGGGAAAGCAGAGAGUUUUCUGCAUAUUCUUCGUUCACAGACACUCCCAAGUUCAGCACCAGAUCAAUUGGGAAAAAUUGAUCAUUGGCGCUCACAUAGCAAAGAGGUAGAUUACCCCUCCUGCAGUAGUAGCUCACCCUCAAAUUUUUCUCCAACUUCCCAAAGUUCAUCUGACUUGUAUCUAACUGUGGACUAAGAAGCAAAUGCCUGAAAGUGGAAAAAGAAUAAAGAUGCUGCUUAAGUUCUAUUGCAAUAGUACCAUAUUUGUUUAUUUUUAUGCUUUGUAUGAUACAACUGAAAUUUAUUUGUUUCACAUCAAGACUCUAGCUUGUUUUAUAAAUAAUAACACCUUGAAGGAGAGGAAGCUUUAAUUGAUUUGAUGAUGCAAAGCAACAGUGAUCUGGUAGAUCAUUGGAUUGGGAUAGGGGAAAAGAAGCAGCUUAAACAUCUUCUACGACUUCUGGAGAAACUGAAAUCAUCACCUGGAUUCAGAGGAGUGCAUGAAUUUGAUAGUGCUCACAUUCCUUCGCUUAACUAGGAAGAUCCUCCUAAUUGCUGGGCUCUCCCAGUAAUGACACUAACAAGCGUAUCAAUUGCACUUCCAAACAUCAACUUUCAUUCAAUCAAGGAACUCAUCGGGUGUGUGAAUGAAGGUCUCAUGUACAUCAAAGUAGCGGAAGAUAACCUGGAUGCAAGAAAAGACCUCGCAAAUAUCAGGCGGGCGGGCAGCAGAAUUAGUGUGGUUAGAUGUUGAUCUAUGUUACAAGUGGCUGGAUGUGGAUCUCCAGAAGACAGCCACUGAAGGACAAAAUUCCAAAGACAUGCUUGAAGGUCUCUCUGAGAAAGCAAAGCAGAGAUUCAUCGAAUUCAGAAAGAAAGAUUUGACUGUUUGUCCAAAGGAAUCACAAAAUGGCCUACCAAUAUGUUGGCAGCCAACUGUAUGUACGGAAUGUACGGAAUCUGUCAAACUCUUUUGGUAAGUUCUGAUAUCAUAGAGUUUGAGAACAGCAAAAUCAUGUUUGAUAAACUGUCAAUCAUGAUCACUGAUCACGGGCAUAACAGGCGCUUGUCUUACAAACCUACAAAGAGCUAUGCAAUGCCACCAUGGCACCAUUAAGGAGAGAUCAAAAGGUGUCCGUUCUGCCAUCUUACUUCUCGGAAAAACAGAGAAUAUUCUGGAAAUUCUUCGUUCACAGCCACUUCCAAGUUCAGCACCAGAUCAAUUGGCG